Molecule: transfer RNA, 73 nt
Organism: Colletotrichum gloeosporioides Cg-14
Lineage: Eukaryota; Fungi; Ascomycota; Sordariomycetes; Glomerellales; Glomerellaceae
Rfam family: tRNA
About the family: Transfer RNA (tRNA) molecules are approximately 80 nucleotides in length. Their secondary structure includes four short double-helical elements and three loops (D, anti-codon, and T loops).
Source: Rfam
GGUCUGGUGGUGUAGUGGUUAUCACGUCAGUCUCACACACUGAAGGUCCCCGGUUCAAUCCCGGGUCAGAUCA